This 327-nucleotide ribosomal RNA is filed under the name Triticum aestivum (bread wheat). Its description in RNAcentral is "partial small subunit ribosomal RNA". The record is from RNAcentral. Lineage: Eukaryota; Viridiplantae; Streptophyta; Magnoliopsida; Poales; Poaceae.
AUGGAUGACCUCGGCACAUGCACGGUCGCUGGCGGGGAUGGGCUUGUUCUCGCUGGUGGUGGGUUGGUCGGGCGUCUUCUCGGUGGAGAGAAGGUCGAAUCUGACGGUUACAUUGAUUGGCAUGCCCGUUACACCUUACAUACUUGUUGUGGGCCGCGGCGCUUGUUGUGUCUUGCAUUGCAAGCCCGGCCGAUCGUGCGCACUGCUGCGGUGAAGGAGAGGGGAAUGCUGCCUUCAAGGAAGAAAGAAGCAUGGAAAUUACAUUUUCCCCUCCGCUUUUCUUACAUUUACUUGUUUGGUCAUAUACAAUGUAAAAUAAAUUUAUGA